RNAcentral lists this ribosomal RNA (205 nucleotides) under uncultured bacterium. RNAcentral describes it as "partial 16S ribosomal RNA". It matches the Rfam family "Bacterial small subunit ribosomal RNA", at positions 570 to 774 of the family's 1533-position model. The record is from RNAcentral.
CGUAGGUGGUUUGAUAAGCGAGAUGUGAAAGCCCCGGGCUUAACCUGGGAACGGCAUUUCGAACUGUCAGGCUAGAGUAUGGUAGAGGAGUGUGGAAUUUCCUGUGUAGCGGUGAAAUGCGUAGAUAUAGGAAGGAACACCAGUGGCGAAGGCGGCACUCUGGACCAAUACUGACACUGAGGUGCGAAAGCGUGGGGAGCAAACA